Molecule: ribosomal RNA, 252 nt
Filed under: uncultured bacterium
Lineage: Bacteria
Description: partial 16S ribosomal RNA
Rfam family: Bacterial small subunit ribosomal RNA
Source: RNAcentral
UACGAAGGGGGCUAGCGUUGCUCGGAAUUACUGGGCGUAAAGAGCUCGUAGGCGGUUUGUCGCGUCGAAUGUGAAAACCCGGGGCUCAACCCCGGGCCGCAUUCGAUACGGGCAGACUAGAGUUCGGUAGGGGAGUCUGGAAUUCCUGGUGUAGCGGUGAAAUGCGCAGAUAUCAGGAGGAACACCGGUGGCGAAGGCGGGACUCUGGGCCGAUACUGACGCUGAGGAGCGAAAGCGUGGGGAGCGAACAGG